UGGUAGCAGUAGCGGUGGUAA
This 21-nucleotide microRNA is filed under the name Arabidopsis thaliana (thale cress). Its description in RNAcentral is "ath-miR834". Its record names the gene ath-miR834. RNAcentral also lists the same sequence under 1 other name. Lineage: Eukaryota; Viridiplantae; Streptophyta; Magnoliopsida; Brassicales; Brassicaceae. The record is from miRBase by way of RNAcentral.